This 253-nucleotide ribosomal RNA is filed under the name uncultured bacterium. RNAcentral describes it as "partial 16S ribosomal RNA". It matches the Rfam family "Bacterial small subunit ribosomal RNA", at positions 524 to 776 of the family's 1533-position model. The record is from RNAcentral.
UACGUAGGGGGCAAGCGUUGUCCGGAAUCAUUGGGCGUAAAGAGCGUGUAGGCGGUUCGGUAAGUCGGGUGUGAAAGUCCAGGGCUCAACCCUGGGAUGCCGGUCGAUACUGCCGGACUAGAGUUCGGAAGAGGCGAGUGGAAUUCCCAGUGUAGCGGUGAAAUGCGCAGAUAUCGGGAGGAACACCUAUGGCGAAGGCAGCUCGCUGGGACGUUACUGACGCUGAGACGCGAAAGCGUGGGGAGCAAACAGG